RNAcentral lists this transfer RNA (71 nucleotides) under Marmota monax (woodchuck). RNAcentral's name for it is "tRNA.Ala". It matches the Rfam family "tRNA". Rfam says of the family: Transfer RNA (tRNA) molecules are approximately 80 nucleotides in length. Lineage: Eukaryota; Metazoa; Chordata; Mammalia; Rodentia; Sciuridae. The record is from RNAcentral.
GGGGUUGUAGCUUAGUGGUAGAGCACUUGCCUAGCAUGUGUGAGGCACUGAGUUCAAUCCUCAGCACCACA